CGAACGGGUGAGUAACACGUGAGUAAUCCACCCUUGGUACCGGGAUAGCUCGGGGAAACUCGAAUUAAUACCGGAUAGCCCAUUUGCCUUUCGAGGCGAAUGGAAAAGGUAGCUUCGGCCUCCGACCAAGGACGAGCUCGCGGCGGAUUAGCUUGUUGGCGGGGUAAUGGCCCACCAAGGCGACGAUCCGUAGCUGGUCUGAGAGGACGAUCAGCCACACUGGAACUGAAACACGGUCCAG
This 241-nucleotide ribosomal RNA is filed under the name uncultured bacterium. Its description in RNAcentral is "partial 16S ribosomal RNA". It matches the Rfam family "Bacterial small subunit ribosomal RNA", at positions 99 to 334 of the family's 1533-position model. The record is from RNAcentral.